RNAcentral lists this long non-coding RNA (1001 nucleotides) under Sus scrofa (pig). RNAcentral's name for it is "lncRNA (ENSSSCG00055027670.1)". The record is from RNAcentral. Lineage: Eukaryota; Metazoa; Chordata; Mammalia; Artiodactyla; Suidae.
CCACAAUCUCUUCAUGUUUCAGUUGGAUCGUCACUUCCUCAGAGAAACCUUCCCUGGUCCCCCCUGACUAGGUCAGGUUCUCGUCUUAUGCCUGCAGAGAACCAUAUUCUUUUCCUUCAGAGCACUUAUCUGGACUUUUAAGUAUCAGCUCAUUGAUGUGAUUAGGUGAUGAAUGUCUGUCUCUCCUGACUUCACUCAGAUCCGUGAGAACAAGAACCAUGUCUACUUUGCUCAUCAUUAUAGACAGCAUGCAGCACGGUGCUUUAAACAUGGUGGAUCUUCAGUGACACCUGAUUGGAUGAAUGAAGGAGAACAAAGUUGAAAUGCCUAGAAUAUUCAUAGGAAGAAUUGAGUGCACCUGGAGACUAUUCAUGUGGAACAGGAAUAAAUGUCCUUUGAUUGAAAAGUCGAAAAUAUCCACGAAUUUUAAACGUAAGUAUAAUUAUGUAAAUAUAUAACAAUGUUGUUUCUUUAGUGGUUAUGAAAUACUGAACUUGGUCACUGAUUUGUUUAUUUGGUAUGUGUCCUUGCUUUUCAGGGAAUUUCUGUCCACUUUCAGAACCACCUUACAUUUCCUAUUCGAAGAACUAACAGAAGCAAAGCAGCUCAGCUAAGAGUGAAAUAAUUUCAGCGACUAUGAAAAUUUGCAGAAAAGUGUGGCCAACAGAAAGUGUUCAUUCUCUGUGUUUACAUUGGCACUGAUCUUAAAGGCAUGGCAUUAACUCAACAUAAAGCUAUGCUUUUUAUUUUUUAAUUAAUUAUUCUCUAUUUUUAAUUUUUUUUUUAGGGCUGCACUUGCAGCAUAUGAAAGUUCCCAGGCUAAGUGUCAAAUCGGAGCUGCAGCUGCCGGCCUGUGCCACAGCCACAGAAACAUCAGAUCUGAGCCAAUUCUGUGACCUACACCACAGCUCAUGCAACACUGGAUCCUUAACCCAGUAAGUGAGGUCAGGGAUUGAACCCACACCCUCAUGGAUACUAGCAGAGUUUGUUAUUGCUGAGCC